AACUGCUGAUACGCCACCGGGUUAAUGGGAUGAGGGAAACUGAAUGAUGGGCUGGCAUAGAAAGAAAAGGAAAGGCCAUUACAUCACAGGAACGAGGAACACAUUUUGCGAACAACAAUCUUGCUUUUGGCUGCUUCGACUUGCUACUGGACUUGGAAAGCUUCCUGAUGACUCAGAGCGACUUGAUGCUACAGCGCAGGAUCGAGUCUCGAUGAUGAUAGGACCUAACCGUCAACGUCAACAUUUGAGAAAGAUACGGCACUGGAGACUGAAAGUUGUGUCCACAGGGCCGCGGGAGUGCUGGAGCCAAUGCCAGCUGACUUUGGGCGAGAGGCAGGGUACACCCUGAACUGAUCGCCAGCCAAUCACCGGGCACAUAUAAACGAACAUCCAUUCACACCUAUUUUAGAGUCUUCAUUUAACCCAGCAUGCAUGGGGAGAACAUGCAAACUCCACACAGGCGAGCCUGGAUUGGAACCCAGGUCCUCGGAAGUAUGAGGCAGAUGUGCUAACCAGUCGGCCAUCUCUAUUUUGUGAAACUACAAGCAAAUGGAAAAUUCAUUUUUACAAAUAUACUCACACUCUCAAGCUCAGGCAGAGUACAUUUCAAUAAAGUUGUUCAAAUAACAAUCAAAUGAAUUGUUUUUUACUUGACAGUGGUGUCUGUAAUUUUGGUCUGCUUAAUCAUGCGUUCACAUCAUUUUAAACGCUGAGAUUUGCGCCACGAUAACAACCCCAGAUGCCAAAACCCUCAUCCGUGCAUUCGUUUCUUCUAGAGUUGACUACUGCAAUGUCCUACCCCAAUGUACCACAAAAAACAACAACAACAAAAGAAAAACUACAGUUUGUGCAAAAUAGUGCUGCCAGAAUAUUCACUUGCACCAACAUAUUUAAUAGCAUCACCCCUGUCCUGAGAGUAAGUCCCUUCAUUGGCUACCUAUUCAGGCCAGAUCAGACUUCAAGGUCCUACUAUUGGCCUACAAAUGUCUUCAUGGCCAAGCGCC
Phyllopteryx taeniolatus (common seadragon) is the source of this 1004-nucleotide long non-coding RNA. RefSeq lists it as uncharacterized. Lineage: Eukaryota; Metazoa; Chordata; Actinopteri; Syngnathiformes; Syngnathidae. The record is from RefSeq and is a predicted model, not a curated record. The transcript has 4 exons.